GGCGUUGCUUUUGGCUUUUGUGUGCUCAGCAAAUUACUGCGCAAAGUAUGUCCGGCGAUCUUACUCCAAAGGAAGCGAUCCUUUCUGGCAGAUGAACGAGCGCCAUUUGCACACCGUCGGGGUCCAAUGAGCUAAAAGAGGGAAUUUUGCUACGGAACCGGUGACCGUCGGAGUGGCAAUCGGAAAUGGUUCGUAUGCAAGGCCGCCAGGGGUAAGAUGCGUCAACAUUUGUCUGGUGGGUGCGGAACGCGUUUUGUGCUAUCAUUUUUUGAUGAAGCUUGUUACGCUGUGAACACGAUUAUUGGCACGGAUGGCGUCCCCU
Molecule: RNA transcript, 322 nt
Organism: Anopheles cruzii
Lineage: Eukaryota; Metazoa; Arthropoda; Insecta; Diptera; Culicidae
Exons: 2
Source: RefSeq, a predicted model, not a curated record